This 907-nucleotide long non-coding RNA is filed under the name Homo sapiens (human). RNAcentral describes it as "non-protein coding lnc-ROPN1B-11:1". Lineage: Eukaryota; Metazoa; Chordata; Mammalia; Primates; Hominidae. The record is from RNAcentral.
AGACCCACAGAAUCUAACAGAUGUCUCUAUAUUCCUCCUCCUAGAACCUCAGAGGAUCCAGAACGGCAGCUGGUCCUUGCUGGGCUGUUCCUGUCCAUGUGCCUGGUCACGGUGCUGGGGAACCUGAUCAUCAUCCUGGACGUCAGCCCUGACUCCCACCUCCCCACCCCCAUGUACUUCUUCCUCUCCAACCUGUCCUUGCCUGACAUCGGUUUCACCUCCACCACGGUCCCCAAGAUGAUUGUGGACAUCCAAUCUCACGGCAGAGUCAUCUUCUAUGCAGGCUGCCUGACUCAGAUGUCUCUCUUUGCCAUUUUUGGAGGCAUGGAAGAGAGACACGCUCCUGAGUGUGAUGGCCUAUGACCGGUUUGUAGCCAUCUGUCACCCUCUAUGUCAUUCAGCCAGCAUGAACCCGUGUUUCUGUGGCUUUCUAGUUUUGUUGUCUUUUUUUUUUCUCAGUCUUUUAGACACCCAGCUGCACAACUUGAUUGCCUUACAAAUGACCUGCUUCAAGGAUGUGGAAAUUCUUAAUUUCUUCUGUGACCCUUCUCAACUCCCCCAUCUUGCAUGUUGUGACACCUUCACCAAUAACAUAAUCAUGUAUUUCCCUGCUGCCAUAUUUGGUUUUCUUCAGAUCUCGGGGACCCUUUUCUCUUACUAUAAAAUUGUUUCCUCCAUUCUGAGGGUUUCAUCAUCAGGUGGGAACUAUAAAGCCUUCUCCACCUGUGGGUCUCACCUGUCAGUUGUUUGCUGAUUUUAUGGAACAGGCGUUGGAGGGUACCUCAGUUCAGAUGUGUCAUCUUCCCCGAGAAAGGGUGCAGUGGCCUCAGUGAUGUACACGGUGGUCACCCCCAUGCUGAACCCCUUCAUCUACAGCCUGAGAAACGGGGAUAUUAAAAGUGUUCUG